Molecule: small RNA, 789 nt
Filed under: Pongo abelii (Sumatran orangutan)
Lineage: Eukaryota; Metazoa; Chordata; Mammalia; Primates; Hominidae
Description: processed transcript
Source: RNAcentral
GAGAACUGUGUUUAUGAAACUGUAGUUUUGCCUUUGGAUGAAAGGGCAUUUGAGAAGACUUUAACACCAAUCAUACAGGAAUAUUUUGAGCAUGGAGAUACUAAUGAAGUUGCGGAAAUGUUAAGAGAUUUAAAUCUUGGUGAAAUGAAAAGUGGAGUACCAGUGUUGGCAGUAUCCUUAGCAUUGGAGGGGAAGGCUAGUCAUAGAGAGAUGACAUCUAAGCUUCUUUCUGACCUCUGUGGGACAGUAAUGAGCACAAGUGAUGUGGAAAGCGUAAAGAUAGUGUGUGGGGCUCUGGAGGUGGUCAGCAGUCUGUCAAUCACCUUGUUAAAGAGAUUGAUAUGCUGCUGAAAGAAUAUUUACUCUCUGGAGACAUAUCUGAAGCUGAACAUUGCCUUAAGGAACUGGAAGUACCUCAUUUUCACCAUGAGCUUGUAUAUGAAGCUAUUAUAAUGGUUUUGGAGUCAACUGGAGAAAGUACAUUUAAGAUGAUUUUGGAUUUAUUAAAGUCCCUUUGGAAGUCUUCUACCAUUACUGUAGACCAAAUGAAAAGAGGUUAUGAGAGAAUUUACAAUGAAAUUCCGGACAUUAAUCUGGAUGUCCCACAUUCAUACUCUGUGCUGGAGCGGUUUGUAGAAGAAUGUUUUCAGGCUGGAAUAAUUUCCAAACAACUCAGAGAUCUUUGUCCUUCAAGGGGCAGAAAGCGUUUUGUAAGCGAAGGAGAUGGAGGUCGUCUUAAACCAGAGAGCUACUGAAUAUAAGAACUCUUGCAGUCUUAGAUGUUAUAAA